Castor canadensis (American beaver) is the source of this 3893-nucleotide non-coding RNA. NCBI's taxonomy places the organism in Eukaryota, Metazoa, Chordata, Mammalia, Rodentia, Castoridae. The record is from RefSeq and is a predicted model, not a curated record.
AGCUGGGUUUUUCAGUUUCAUUCCACUUUCCGCCCUUUUCCCUUAAUGAACACAGGGCUAAUCUUGGGCCUUGUCGAAGGAAGAGGCCGCAGACGCUAAUGAGGAAGCUGCUGGGUUCCAAUAUUCAUCUCAUAAGGAGCCUUCUUUGUCUGCAAAGGAAAAACACACUGAUUAUCAUAAUAAGCUGAACUGGCGUCCGCAGGGCCGGGGCGACUCAGGUUCUUAAGCCACACUUCUAAUUUUGGGGCUGCAGCUGAAGGUCCUUUUGGUCCUCAUUGAAGCCUUUGCCCCAUCCCAGCGCGAAGGCUAUUGAAUGGGGUUGAAAGUUGAAGGUAGCUUUGGGAGAAGGGCCCCAGAGUCUGCAUUGUAGAAGGUUUCUUUGUUCACUCUCUGCAUGCACAACUAGCAAGAUUCAUUCCCACUCUCCAAGUGCCAGGCCAGGGGCUGCACCAGGGAUCAGUUUCUGUCCCUAGCUCUCACUUGACUUGUUUCAAGUCCCACUGAGAGCUUCGAAUUUAUGCCAGGGAUUAUGGGGUGGCAGCAGAGAGCCAAGUUACAGGCCCAGGGCUAGGCUAGUCAUCACAGUGACAACCAAGGGUGCCCCAUGCAGGUGAAGAGAUGGUGGGAUAUUGGCACCCUAGGGGUCCCCCAUGAAAGGACAUAGUUUCAAAUUUAGUUCAACUUUGGCACCAGUGUACUGAUGAGAUGGGGCUCAGGGGGCCAGUGGUUUGUCAGGACCAUUAAGGGGAGAUAUAUUUCAGAUACGGGGUUGAGGAUGUAGCUCUGUGGUAGGACAUUUGCCUGGUAUGAGCGAGGCCUUGGGUUCUCACCUGGCACCACAGCUCAGUUCUGCCAUUAGAUCCCUUGUUAAAUCUCUUAUCCCCUGCUACCCACUCACUCACUCAUAUACACGGUCCUCUUCCCCCCAGAAUUGCUACCCUUCAUUAAUAUCUUUAGAGCAGGUGUGUCCUGAGUAUGAUACCACUUCUUAUUUGUUCCAGGUUCUGGACAUUUCUCAUCCCAAGGCAGAUCAAUCAGGAUUAGAUCACUAUUUCCUUCAGUGAAAUGGCAAAAACUAGAGAAGGGAGGUGGUUGAAGCAAGACAAUGUUAUUAAUUCAGUGACCUCCCUCCCUUAGUGACUCCAUUGGCUAAAGGGUCUGUGGGAUUAUGGAUCAGAAUAGAACACUUUCCAAAUGAGAAGAACUAACUCUAGCCAGCCCUAAUAAAUCAGUGUAGAGGGAUGUUCACCUGGUCUGCGGAGGUGGAAACCUGCGGUCACCUCCUCUUUGUGGAGUUGAGAUUUGCUGAAUGACUAGGAUAGAGCAGCCCACCUUUUAUAGGGAGGAGUAUAAAUUAGGGACUUGGGAUGAGGGCGGGGCUCUCUGAAAGGGGGGACCUCAUGCCACCAUUGGAGUGUAGAGCCAGCAGUUUGUGAUGUUUCCAAGUGAGAAGACUUCUUUUAAAUAGUAAAGAAUCCCCAGGCCCCUCCUUCCCUCAAAUCUGUCAUUAAAAUAUAGCCUCCAAAGCCACUAUGAAUACUGUAGGAGCCCCUGGGGAGUAUUUUAGAGGUUGGGGGUGGGUGGGGGACAAUUCAGAACCCUGAAAUCCUAACAUCCUGAAACAUGGAGAGUCUGUGGCUUUUCUGCCCCAGUCAUUGGGUCUCUGGAAGCCCACCGGCCGCUUUCCCAAGGUCUUGAGCAGACAGAUUGGAGCUGGCUGCUCCUGGGAAUGUUGGGGGGCUCUUUAGCCCAUCUCCUUGCUUCCUGGGGCCCUCAACAGCAUGUCUGCUGCUUUGUAUGGACACGACUUUCCCAUUUUCCAGCCUGGUGGUCCUGGUUUGUUUCAGAGUUGGCCUGAGGACACCCAGAGACUGAUGGUUACUUAACAUUUAUUGAGGCAAAUCCUGGAGGCUCAGGAGAGAAUAGAAAACUGAGGCUUCAGUAGGGAAGUGAGGCUAGGAAAAGCCUAUCCCCCAAUUCUGAGAAGUGCUGUUUUCUGCCUUUAUUGCCCUCUCCCUCCACCUCUGUUCUUUCUCAGUCUUUAUCUCCCUCCCCUCCCUUACCAAUUCGGAAUCUGGCCUUCUUGAGGUGUCCUAGGCCAACCCUCCCUUCUCUGGGUGUCCAAGCGCCAGCCUGGUGUAUAGUGGGGCUCAGUAAGAGUAUGUGGGAUGUAUGCUUGGACAGGUGAGUGAAUGAAAGGACUCGACUGCCACACCUGAGCAGCUAGGUGGGCUACACAAGGAGUCCUAAGUUCAAAGGGUGGAUGGCGGGUGUCGUGGUCCUUGGGAAUGGACAGUUUCCCACCCCAGCCCUUUUUGAAGGGGGCCUUGCUGGUCGCGCCCCUGCAUUCACCCAUGUGUCCAUCCCGUCAUCCAACAGUUGAUCCUAACUGAGCAUGCCCAUGGUCCUGGUCCCCGGACUUGGCACCUGCCACCUAGUGCAUCCUUGAUGGUCUCUGCUUCGCAGGGAGGGUGGACCGGGGGGGUUGUUCAGGUGCUGGAGCGGUGGUCUCCGCCCUGUAGAUGGCAGCAAGGGGUCGGGGUCGGCUUGGUUUGUCUGCCUUGCCUUUCACACAAGCCUACCCAACCCCAGGGCUUUGCCCCCUCUCUGCUUCCCCCACUCCAUCCCUGUAGCUGAGUGGACAGCUGUUCUGAACCCCUGGCCCUGAAGCCUGGGACCAAGGUGGGUAUGAGAGCAGCUAUGGUGGGUAUCCCCAGGCCUUGGCCAUACAGGUCUCCCUCUUGAGAUGGGGUCUGUGGUGUGGACCUCCCCCAUCACAUGAUUCCUUCCUCCCCCUGGGGCUCAGUCCAGUUUCUUGGCCCCCUAGGAUGGGGCCUGUGCCCAUGGUGAGAGCCUCCAGGAAGCGUCUGCAGGCUGUAGUUGUGCUUGGCUGUCUACCUGCUCUUUUCCUGAUGGCUCCUCCCAUAUUUCUCAGCGGCCAAAUUCAUUACCCACUUGGCGCUCUUCUUGCCACAGGCCUAUCUGUUGCCUCCUCUCUGCCUCUGUCACUGGGCUUAGAACCUCCUGACCUGCCCUCUAACUAACAGACUCACUUUUCUGGCCAAGCUCACACCUGUGUAUUUCUUUUAGCCCUGCCUCCAGGUCUGAAUAUCAUCGCCCGGUCCGCUUAAUGUUGUCUUGGUUUACAAUAGGUCCUGGUGCCCGUGGGACAAGCUGUGUUGGUGUCUCCCUCUCCCCACACCUGGCUUCAGAUGUGUCCUUCUGUGGGCCUGGCUUCCAGGGUCUGAGUGACCCAGGGCUGUAGUCAGGCUUAUGUCCUGGCCUACUGGCCCGAGACCCCUCGUCAUCAUGCCUGGCCUGUUGCAUCGCUUCUGUACUUUUCCCUGCUGUGGCUCGUGUCAGAUGAACUGCCCCUGUCCACAGUAGAGCAGCUGGCUUCACCUGCUGGCCAUGUUGGCUGAAGAACAGCAGAUAGAAGUGGCAGAGGACCCCAUGAGACCCGCCACCAGGACCCAAGCCUUCUUCCCAGCAUGUCUCACCGCCUCAGUUGAGGCCGAAGUUACCACCUGGAAUUCUGCGUGGGAAGGGACCCUGGAUACCCGGAUACAUGCCCUUGGGACCCUCCAGUGCUAAAUCCCUCCACAGCUACGGGGACACCCUGCACACAUUCCCACGGGACAGACUGGACCCAAGACUCUGGACCGGGGCCUCCCCUUAUAGAGACUCACCCUCUGACUGAUGGACUGCGCUGACCUGGGGGUCAGGCGUGUAGCCUUGACCUCCAUCAUCCCCCAUGAACCCUGAGACUCGGGGAGCUGUUGACUCUUCAUUGUCCUCACUUAUGAAACAGGCCGGGACACCUACCUCACAGGACUGUUGUGAGGCUGCUGCAAUAUGGUUUAGAACCAAAGGGCUUGGCACGCCCACUUGUC